UGGGGAAUAUUGCACAAUGGGCGCAAGCCUGAUGCAGCCAUGCCGCGUGUGUGAAGAAGGCCUUCGGGUUGUAAAGCACUUUCAGCGAGGAGGAAGGUGGUGAGCUUAAUACGCUCAUCAAUUGACGUUACUCGCAGAAGAAGCACCGGCUAACUCCGUGCCAGCAGCCGCGGUAAUACGGAGGGUGCAAGCGUUAAUCGGAAUUACUGGGCGUAAAGCGCACGCAGGCGGUUUGUUAAGUCAGAUGUGAAAUCCCCGGGCUCAACCUGGGAACUGCAUUUGAAACUGGCAAGCUAGAGUCUCGUAGAGGGGGGUAGAAUUCCAGGUGUAGCGGUGAAAUGCGUAGAGAUCUGGAGGAAUACCGGUGGCGAAGGCGGCCCCCCUGGACGAAGACUGACGCUCAGGUGCGAAAGCGUGGGGCAGCAAACAGGAUUAGAUACCCUGGUAGUCCAGCGCUGUAAACGAUGUCGAUUUGGAGGUUGUGCCCCUUGAGGCGUGGCUUCCGGAGCUAACGCGUUAAAUCGACCGCC
RNAcentral lists this ribosomal RNA (530 nucleotides) under uncultured bacterium. RNAcentral describes it as "partial 16S ribosomal RNA". It matches the Rfam family "Bacterial small subunit ribosomal RNA", at positions 355 to 873 of the family's 1533-position model. The record is from RNAcentral.